This 646-nucleotide ribosomal RNA is filed under the name Salmonella enterica subsp. enterica serovar Heidelberg. Its description in RNAcentral is "partial 23S ribosomal RNA". It matches the Rfam family "Bacterial large subunit ribosomal RNA", at positions 2261 to 2901 of the family's 2925-position model. Lineage: Bacteria; Pseudomonadati; Pseudomonadota; Gammaproteobacteria; Enterobacterales; Enterobacteriaceae. The record is from RNAcentral. RNAcentral also lists the same sequence under 3 other names.
GUGGGUAGUUUGACUGGGGCGGUCUCCUCCUAAAGAGUAACGGAGGAGCACGAAGGUUGGCUAAUCCUGGUCGGACAUCAGGAGGUUAGUGCAAUGGCAUAAGCCAGCUUGACUGCGAGCGUGACGGCGCGAGCAGGUGCGAAAGCAGGUCAUAGUGAUCCGGUGGUUCUGAAUGGAAGGGCCAUCGCUCAACGGAUAAAAGGUACUCCGGGGAUAACAGGCUGAUACCGCCCAAGAGUUCAUAUCGACGGCGGUGUUUGGCACCUCGAUGUCGGCUCAUCACAUCCUGGGGCUGAAGUAGGUCCCAAGGGUAUGGCUGUUCGCCAUUUAAAGUGGUACGCGAGCUGGGUUUAGAACGUCGUGAGACAGUUCGGUCCCUAUCUGCCGUGGGCGCUGGAGAACUGAGGGGGGCUGCUCCUAGUACGAGAGGACCGGAGUGGACGCAUCACUGGUGUUCGGGUUGUCAUGCCAAUGGCACUGCCCGGUAGCUAAAUGCGGAAGAGAUAAGUGCUGAAAGCAUCUAAGCACGAAACUUGCCCCGAGAUGAGUUCUCCCUGAGACUUAAAGUCUCCUGAAGGAACGUUGAAGACGACGACGUUGAUAGGCCGGGUGUGUAAGCGCAGCGAUGCGUUGAGCUAACCGGUAC